GUCCAAUCGCGAUCGCAAGUUUGCGGGCACUGCAGCGAACUAUUGAGAAUGAAAUUAUUUUCAAAUGGCGCACAGGUUUAUACCAAUGAUACCAUGAAGUUGAACGAUAAGGAGGAAGCAACAGCCUUCAAACGAUCUGUGUCUUUUGCGAAAUUGGAUAGAAGAUAAGCAUUAGCGGCAAAAUGUUAAUAAAAGAGUAUCGAAUACCGCUGCCUCUCACCGUGGAGGAAUAUAGAAUUGCUCAGCUUUAUAUGAUAGCGAAAAAAUCCCGAGAAGAAAGUCAAGGAGCAGGCAGCGGAGUAGAAAUUAUAGUAAACGAGCCUUAUAGUAAUGGUCCAGGUGGAAAUGGACAGUAUACCCACAAGAUUUAUCACGUGGGCAGUCAUCUUCCAGAAUGGUUCAAAAGUUUGCUGCCCAGAUCUGCGUUGAUUGCCAAGGAAGAAGCAUGGAACGCUUAUCCCUAUACCAAAACCCGUUACACUUGUCCUUUUGUUGAAAAGUUUUCUAUCGAAAUAGAAACGUACUAUUUUCCUGACAAUGGUUACCAAGAAAAUGUCUUCAAGCUCAGUGGUAGCGACUUAAGAAAUAGAAUUGUAGACUUAAUUGAUAUCGUGAAAGAUCAAUAUACGGGUGAUUAUGUAAAGGAGGAGGAUCCCAAAUUGUAUGUUUCCCAAAAAACUAGCCGAGGACCUCUCGUGGAUUCAUGGCUGGAGGAGUAUUGGAGUGACGUAAAAGGAAAGCAACAACCGACGCCAUCUGGGAAGUCGUUAAUGUGUGCGUAUAAGUUAUGCCGCGUCGAGUUCCGUUAUUGGGGUGUGCAAACAAAAUUAGAAAAGUUUAUACACGAUGUAGCCUUGCGGAAAACUAUGGUAAGAGCACAUAGGCAAGCCUGGGCUUGGCAAGAUGAGUGGAAUGGUUUGACCAUGGAAGACAUCCGGGAAAUUGAGCGCCAAACACAGCUGGCAUUGCAAAAGAGGAUGGCUAAUGCAGAAAGCGGUGAAGAACCCAUAGAUAAUGAUAACCAAGAGAAGGCUAUUUCUAAUGCAAGUAUGACUCCUCAAGAAUCGGACGUUGCCAUGACAUUGGCUGCAACGCUCGGAAGUAUUGAGAAAAAUGAAGAUCUCCAAAGUCCUCCAAGUGUUAGAAAAUCGACCGAUAUACCGAUGACAAAUACAGCUGUUAGUUCGGAAGGUGAAGUGAGCCCCGAGGACUCGCCGACUGAAGUACCCGAGCUUAGAAGUGCCCCCACGGAAGAGAAAGCAGAUACAAAGAAAGGAUGGAAGAAGAACAGGGCAGCGAUGAGUUCACCGUGUUCGAACAAAAGUUUCGACAUGCAGAUAGCGAAUUGGCGUAUGGAAAGUAUCGUGAGAGAAUCUGAAUCUGGUAGUGAGGAUGAAUUCUUUGAUUGUCAAGCUGGGUUCGUUAUACCUAUUAUAUGCGAAGCAGAAGAGGAGGACAAUACGUUCACUUCACCCACUAUGGCAAACAAAGAAGACGACACGAUAUUUUCACCUUCGUAUCUGCAACGAAUGGCUAGUGAACGUAGCAGUAAAAGGUUACAAAUCUCUGCUUCAGCCAGCAUAGAUGCAUCAUGUCCAGCUUCACCUCAACAUUCGCCAACGCAUCAACCGUGCAAGACUACUGUCCUUCUUAUUGUAAUGCAUGCUGGCAGUGUAUUAGACGCAAAUGUUGAUUUAACGGCUAAAAAAUCGGACAUAACAACAUUUAAAGGGGCCUUCGAAUCAGUUAUGAGACAACACUAUCCUAGUAUGGUUGGUCAUGUUGCCAUUAAGUUUGUUUCCUGCCCAUCUAUUUGCACUGAAGGACUUGGUAUUUUAUCGAGUUUAAGUCCGUAUAGUUUCGAUGUGUCACCUUCUUCUACGGACACCCCUCAAGUAACACAUGAUACUAUUCCAAUUGGUGCAAUACCUCUACUUGCUAGUUCCACUCCUGAAUAUCAGGAUGCCGUCUCUCGAGUUAUAGCUGGAGCUAAUCAAGUUUAUCAUGAUUUUAUCAAAAGCGAGGAAGGUCGUGGUUUCAUGGGACAGAUUUGUUUUAUCGGAGACUCUGUAGGAGCAAUUUUAACAUAUGACGCACUGUGUAAAUCAACUCAUUCUAGACAUAAUAGCGAAAACAAUAUUUUGGAUAAUCAGGGCAUUGAAAAUAGUAUGAACGCGGAAGAUGGCAAGCAUCUGACUGCACCUUCUCCUAGAAGGAAAUCUUCUAGUAUAAGUGAUAUUUCUCAUUGUAAAUUGGAUUUCGAAGUAGGAGAACUUUUCAUGUUUGGUAGUCCACUUGCUCUAGUAUUGGCAUAUAGAAAAAUCUCUUCAGAUAAAAGUAGUAAUAUAAGAAGACCAUUGGUGAAUCAGGUGUAUAAUUUAUUUCAUCCUACUGAUCCUGUAGCUGCUAGAUUAGAACCACUUAUUUCCGCAAGGUUCUCUCUACUUCCUCCUGUGAAUGUGGCUCGAUAUCUAAAGUAUCCACUAGGAAAUGGUCAGCCUUAUCAUUUAUUGGAAGCUCUCCAGACAAAUCCACAAUUAUUUACGGAUGGAUUAAACAUUCCAAAUAUGUCAAUGUCUCACGUGAGGAGACUAUCCGAUAUAUCGAUUCAAAGUACAAUGUCCGGUAUGGUUGAAAAUGUUCCUUUACAAAUAGUAUCUAAUUUGACGCAAAAAUGGUGGGGUAAUAAGAGAUUAGAUUAUGCUCUCUAUUGUCCAGAAGGUUUAGCAAAUUUCCCCACAAACGCUUUACCUCACCUUUUUCACGCUAGCUAUUGGGAAUCUUCUGACGUUAUCGCAUUUAUCCUACGACAAUUAGGCAGAUUUGACUCGCCAUUACUCACAAAUGAGGAGAAAGAUUUAAGUUGUUUCCGUCCAGGUCAACCUAGAGAAAAGUGGAAUAAGAAACGUACUUCCGUUAAGCUUAAAAAUGUCGCUGCCAAUCAUAGAGCAAAUGACGUAAUUGUUAGAGAAGGAGCACCGCAAGUGCUGAUUGCUAGAUUUAUGUAUAGUCCAAUUGACGUUAUCGCUUUAACGGGUGAAAAAGUGGAUAUUCAUAUUAUGAAAGAUGCUCCAGCAGGAGAAUGGACUUACUUAUCAACUGAAAUAACUGAUAAGAAUGGUAGAAUAACAUACAAAAUACCCGAUGAUAAAGCAUUGGGAUAUGGACUUUAUCCAAUCAAGAUGAUUGUGAGAGGUGAUCAUACAUCAGUAGACUUUUUCUUGGCUGUGAUUCCACCGAAAACAGAGUGCGUGGUAUUUAGUAUAGAUGGAUCAUUUACAGCGAGUAUGUCUGUAAGCGGAAAGGAUCCAAAAGUUAGAGCUGGAGCUGUCGACAUUGUCAGGCACUGGCAAGAAUUGGGAUACUUAAUCAUUUAUAUUACCGCAAGACCUGAUAUGCAACAGCAGAAAGUUGUUUCCUGGCUGUCUCAACACAAUUUUCCCCAUGGCCUUGUGUCUUUUGCGGACGGUCUCUCGACAGAUCCACUUGCUCAUAAAGCUGCGUACUUAAAUAAACUUGUAGAGGAACACGGUGUAAUAAUUCAUCAUGCAUAUGGCAGUAGUAAAGAUAUUAGUGUUUACACUACGAUUAAUCUUAAGCCAAAUCAAAUUUUCAUUAUUGGAAAAGUGCCAAAGAAGCACCACCCUUUGGCAACAAUCCUUCAUGAUGGCUAUGCUGCUCAUUUAAGUAUGCUACAGGCGCGCGGAGGCUCGAGACCAGCUCAGGGUAAUGCACGUAUGGUGAUCCCAAGAGGUCAGUUCGGUUUACCCGGACAAAACGCUUCUCUACGGCGAAGAAGAUGUUUUGGUUGCUGCAGAAUGGUGGAAAUGUGCAUAUGCAAUAAAUGUUGUCCCUUAGAAAGAAGAUAUGCAGAAUGGGCGUAAGGCAUUUCGGAGAAUAAUAAGAAUUCUAUUGUCUGUACAUAGAUAAUGCUGUAUUUUUAUAGCUCUACAUACUGUGAUCAGUAUGAAAUUUUAAGCAAAGGUAGUUGUUUCAGAGGCGAUCAAUGACGCGUGCGAUCAUCGUAUUCGAAUCGCACUCAUCAAUGUUUACUAAAACCCCAAUUUAUAUCGAGAGAUUUCUCUGUAAAACAAUCAUAACUACGAAAACAAGGUACCUGUUAUGAAGAUAUGUUACGCGGCGUAGUCAAUAUCGUGCUCUCGGCAAGAGCCGCCACCAUUCUACGCUCAAACUUAAUGUUUUAUCUAUCAGCCAUACACAUGUCCAGAAUUUGUGGUUAAUCAACUAUGAGUGUCUAGAUGUACACAGAAUUAAAAGUUUUUUCG
Molecule: unclassified non-coding RNA, 4286 nt
Filed under: Eufriesea mexicana
Lineage: Eukaryota; Metazoa; Arthropoda; Insecta; Hymenoptera; Apidae
Description: protein retinal degeneration B, transcript variant X5
Source: RNAcentral